Molecule: long non-coding RNA, 242 nt
Organism: Seriola dumerili (greater amberjack)
Lineage: Eukaryota; Metazoa; Chordata; Actinopteri; Carangiformes; Carangidae
Exons: 2
Source: RefSeq, a predicted model, not a curated record
CCAGCUCCAGGCCUCCCACAUAGGCCUGCAACAGGGCACAAGGAGAAGAGUGGCUGUCCUGUUUUUACCUCAAAUCCACCGAUGAUCACCAAAGCGUGGAUGUUGAACUUGGCGAUGUUCUGGCUGAUUUCCUCCAGUAUUUUAGCCGGCAGAGUUCUUUAUUAAACAGAGACAAAUAACGCCGUGAACAGCUUGUAGUCUAAUGACAAGUUUUUCUUUUCAAUAAAGCAAAACAAUAAGGA